Molecule: ribosomal RNA, 261 nt
Filed under: uncultured archaeon
Lineage: Archaea
Description: partial 16S ribosomal RNA
Rfam family: Archaeal small subunit ribosomal RNA
Source: RNAcentral
CAGCCCUAAACGAUGCGCGUUAGGUGUAUCGGUGACCACGAGUCACCGAGGUGCCGAAGGGAAACCGUGAAACGUGCCGCCUGGGAAGUACGGUCGCAAGGCUGAAACUUAAAGGAAUUGGCGGGGGAGCACUACAACGGGUGGAGCCUGCGGUUUAAUUGGACUCAACGCCGGGAAGCUCACCGGAUAAGACAGCGGAAUGAUUGCCGGGCUGAAGACCCUGCAUGACCAGCUGAGAGGAGGUGCAUGGCGUAGUCGUGU